GUAACUUUUAUAAAUGAGCACAUUUUCCAAAUAACCAUUUAAGAAUAUAAUAAACAGAAUAUCCAGAUUCUUAAGUUACAAGCAAUAGAGACUGAUUCUGAUUUCCGACAACAAAAGGGAAGAUGCUGGGUCAUUCAAAGGAAAUGCCAAACAGCUGAGCAUUCAGUAGGUCAGAAAUGAGGGUGGCACUAGAGGUUUAAGCAGCAAGAGCUCACAGCCAUCUCUCCAGGAGGCUGCCAGAGGACAACUUGAUUCCUAUCACUUUCUCUUCCCAAAUCACACAGGGAAGGGGCAGUUUCCCAAAAUAAGCUGUGUGUGUAGGGGGAGGGGGUUGGGGAAUGACGGACUUUUAUUAUGUGCUCAUAUCAGGCUGUGCAAACAACCAGCAGACUCCUAUACAUACAAAGUUGAGUUUUGAAUUAUACAUGUACUUUUUUUUUCUAUAAAACCUACACGUCCCCAUAAUACUAUCUGCAUUAGUUUUCCUGAUAGGAAAAAAAGUAUUGCAGAAUGCUCAAAUUAGACUUAUUUAUAAAAAAGUAGGUUCUGAAAAAUCUCAGAAAUAGCUCCAGAAGCAGUAGAGUUCAUAACCUAGAAUUUAUUGCCUUUUCUUUACACCCAUCUUUCUGUAGCUACUUUUGCUCAUGUAAUCAGGAAAAACACCUCUAUAAGGUAGGUUGAUGGCACAUAUUGAUUCAUUUGGAUGGAGUUACAUCUGUUGAAGGCCUAAAACUUGUAAAUGCGAAUUAUACUUAUUGAUAGCUUUGUGGAGACUGUGGGGGAAAAAGAUUCCUAUACUUUGUUGUUUUUAGUGCUGGCAAACAUUAAGAAGUGAUUCCUUGGCAAUGUAAGUCCUAUUUCUUCCCUUUGCAUAUAGGCAAAGUGUCAGGCUCCAGCCUGAGUUCCAGCACAACCAAGGCUAGGAUGGAAACAUGAAUGGCAAGCUGGAGGACCUGGCGGGGCAGGCCUACAGCGAGCCAUGGGUUGAAGAUCUGAGUUGUGCCCUGAGAGGACACUCAUUGUGACCUAAGAAGAAAGAGGCAGUACAAAGUGGACCCAGUUCUAACACCUCCUUGGGAUAGGGCCUCCUGCUCCAUCAUGUCCUCUCUGUAGCCCAAGGACACGUCUGCAUCCACGGCACAGAGGGUAAAACCAGAUGGUAGUUUCAUCAGAAGUUCUGUAGGCUCCCCAGCACAAGCAGCACUGUCUGACAUCUAACAGGAUGUGUUCCUAAAUCCCAGCACCAAGCUUUGGCAUCUUGAGAGGACCCAGUAGGAGAAUGGAAUGCCUCCCGGGAAAGGGCAGCAGUAGCUGACCACAGAAACACGGAAAGCUGCAGAGGCUGCUCAAGACAUCUCUUAGCACAUGAGACUCGCAGAAAUACUUGGGGAGGGAUGGAGACCUGGUAAUGAAAAGGCUUGGCAAGAGCUACUUAAAUAGCGGUUUUUAAUCAUUAAAAUAAACUCUCAUUUUGAAAAGCCUGGUGAAGCCUGUGGAGCUUGGAAUUUUCAGAGGAGAUGGCAGUAACAUCAUCGGACUGUAGAAUUAGAUUUUUUUUUUCCCAAUAAGGUAAUGAUGCAGAUAUCCACACUGGUCCCCUCAACAGUCUCUUGCCCUUUAUAGUAAUGCAUACUGGCACACAGGCAAAGGUUGGAUUGAAACAGGCGAAUACUUUGUAGACAAGGAACCAUGUGUUUAUCUUUUCUGGAUAAGAAUUAAACUAAUACUGGUAUCAGGAUUGCUAGUAUCAUGAACUGAUAUAAACAGCCAGAACACAUAGCAUUGUG
RNAcentral lists this long non-coding RNA (1787 nucleotides) under Homo sapiens (human). RNAcentral describes it as "HSALNT0109239". Lineage: Eukaryota; Metazoa; Chordata; Mammalia; Primates; Hominidae. The record is from RNAcentral.